Molecule: transfer RNA, 72 nt
Filed under: Camelus bactrianus (Bactrian camel)
Lineage: Eukaryota; Metazoa; Chordata; Mammalia; Artiodactyla; Camelidae
Also listed under: 2 other names
Rfam family: tRNA
About the family: Transfer RNA (tRNA) molecules are approximately 80 nucleotides in length.
Source: Rfam by way of RNAcentral
GAGCGUAUAGCUCAGUGGUAGAGUGCAUGCCUAGCAUGCACAAUGUCCUGGGUUCAAGCCCCAAUACUUCCA